GAUGAUAUAGCUCUGUGGUAGAGCAUUUGCCUAGCACGCAUGAACCUCUGGGUUCAAUCCCCAAUACCACCA
Molecule: transfer RNA, 72 nt
Filed under: Ictidomys tridecemlineatus (thirteen-lined ground squirrel)
Lineage: Eukaryota; Metazoa; Chordata; Mammalia; Rodentia; Sciuridae
Description: Spermophilus tridecemlineatus (thirteen-lined ground squirrel) tRNA
Rfam family: tRNA
About the family: Transfer RNA (tRNA) molecules are approximately 80 nucleotides in length. Their secondary structure includes four short double-helical elements and three loops (D, anti-codon, and T loops).
Source: Rfam by way of RNAcentral